GCUAACUUCGUGCCAGCAGCCGCGGUAAUACGAAGGGGGCUAGCGUUGCUCGGAAUUACUGGGCGUAAAGGGAGCGUAGGCGGAUAGUUUAGUCAGAGGUGAAAGCCCAGGGCUCAACCUUGGAAUUGCCUUUGAUACUGGCUAUCUUGAGUAUGGAAGAGGUAUGUGGAACUCCGAGUGUAGAGGUGAAAUUCGUAGAUAUUCGGAAGAACACCAGUGGCGAAGGCGACAUACUGGUCCAUUACUGACGCUGAGGCUCGAAAGCGUGGGGAGCAAACAGGAUUAGAUACCCUGGUAGUC
This 300-nucleotide ribosomal RNA is filed under the name uncultured Phenylobacterium sp. RNAcentral's name for it is "bacterial SSU rRNA". It matches the Rfam family "Bacterial small subunit ribosomal RNA", at positions 496 to 795 of the family's 1533-position model. Lineage: Bacteria; Pseudomonadati; Pseudomonadota; Alphaproteobacteria; Caulobacterales; Caulobacteraceae. The record is from RNAcentral.